This 385-nucleotide ribosomal RNA is filed under the name uncultured bacterium. Its description in RNAcentral is "bacterial SSU rRNA". It matches the Rfam family "Bacterial small subunit ribosomal RNA", at positions 533 to 916 of the family's 1533-position model. The record is from RNAcentral.
AAAGAGCGUUAUCCGGAUUCACUGGGCGUAAAGCGCGCGUAGGCGGCGAGACAAGUCAGGUGUGAAAGUCACAGGCUCAACCUGUGAAUGCCGCUGGAAACUGUCUGGCUAGAGUCCGGAAGGGGCCAGUGGAAUUCCUAGUGUAGCGGUGAAAUGCGCAGAUAUCAGGAGGAACACCUGUGGCGAAGGCAGCUCGCUGGGACGGUACUGACGCUGAGGCCCGAAAGCGUGGGGAGCGAACAGGAUUAGAUACCCUGGUAGUCCACGCCGUAAACGAUGGGCACUAGGUGUCGGAGGUCUGGAGUCCUCCUGUGCCGACGCUAACGCAUUAAGUGCCCCGCCUGGGGAGUACGGUCGCAAGGGUAAAACUCAAAGGAAUUGACGG